This is a non-coding RNA of Drosophila melanogaster (fruit fly), 306 nucleotides long. Lineage: Eukaryota; Metazoa; Arthropoda; Insecta; Diptera; Drosophilidae. The record is from Ensembl.
CAAUGACUGCACAUUGUUUCUACAACGUCCUCCAACCGUAUCCCUCGGCCUCAGUGUUAAAUAGGAGUGACGAACCGGAAGUUUUCAGAUACAACAACUGCUGACCCAGUGGGGUUUGGGUGGCCAAAAUAGACCUGAUCGGUUGGUCUUUUGCACUUGACUGCAUCCUUAACCUUUUGCCCAAGCUGAAUUCGAAGACACCUGAAAGUGCCACUUGAGCAUUUUCAGAUUCUUUAUUUACCACCACUUGAGCACCCCGCCCAACGCCCACCCAAAUAAAUUUCCGGUUUGUUUUCCACAUUUUUG